Molecule: ribosomal RNA, 253 nt
Filed under: uncultured bacterium
Lineage: Bacteria
Description: partial 16S ribosomal RNA
Rfam family: Bacterial small subunit ribosomal RNA
Source: RNAcentral
UACAGAGGAUGCAAGCGUUAUCCGGAAUGAUUGGGCGUAAAGCGUCUGUAGGUGGCUUUUUAAGUCCGCCGUCAAAUCCCAGGGCUCAACUCUGGACAGGCGGUGGAAACUACCAAGCUGGAGUACGGUAGGGGCAGAGGGAAUUUCCGGUGGAGCGGUGAAAUGCGUAGAUAUUGGGAGGAACACCGGUGGCGAAGGCGGCCCUCUGGACCGGUACUGACGCUGAUGCGCGAAAGCGUGGGGAGCAAACGGG